Molecule: long non-coding RNA, 2318 nt
Filed under: Lactuca sativa (garden lettuce)
Lineage: Eukaryota; Viridiplantae; Streptophyta; Magnoliopsida; Asterales; Asteraceae
Description: long non-coding RNA (LSAT_LNC001758)
Source: RNAcentral
AAAAAAAAUACAAUCUUUUACGAUAAAUGGAAAAAAAAUAUAAAAUAAUAAUUGAGUUUAAAUUGCUCAAUCACAAUUGUAUAGCAUUUGAAUAUGUUUUUUAGUAAUUUUAAAAAAAAUGAUAAGCAAUUUAAUAAUUUUGAUACAUUAAAUGAUUAAUCUAUCAUUUAACUCGUUUUUUUAAAGCACCGGAUCAAUUAGGGAACACCAAAAUCACCAAGCACCAUAACAUUGAGGUCACAACACAUUAAAACUUGCAACAUCUUUAUUGUGACUUAAAGUUAAAUAUCCCAAUAAUAGCAAUGUACUUCCAUGGUUGUGAUAAUAUCAAUUUGAUUCCCCAUCGACACCCAACAGAAACAUGAAUUGCUAAUGGUAAAUAGAACCAUGUAGAAACUAUGUCUUCACGAAAGCUCCAUACUAACCUUGGGGUAAAAUUGUCCAAAACUUUCAUCGGGUGAUUAGCACCUUUAUUGAUACUUCCAACGCCUUCAAAUUAAACAUGAUCUUUAACAUUCACCAAAUUACCAUCCAAUGAUAUUGACAAUCUUUCAGACCAACCAUUUUGUAAACAGGGGUAUAAUCGUCCAUAUUUUGCCUAAGCGGAAAUCAACCAAAUUAGAGCAUCCGACAGCAACAAAUCGUGAUUAAACUUCGCCUUCACCGUGUAUCCUCUCUGUUGUAUAAUAAUUCUCUCCAUAUUGCAUUGAUAUUUCUGCUUAUCAUAAUAAGUGCUUCAUUGAGCAUAAACACUGGCAAGCUUAGUGAGAUAAAUUGACAACUUACAGUUACAUAAUGGAGAACAAAAGUGUAAGUUGCUUACCGUGUUCAGAAGUAAGGAUGUAAUAAACAUAAACGGCUUAACAAAAUACACAUAUUAAACAGAUUGUAUGGUUGGUACAGUUGAAAAUAAACAAAUUGAAUCAACAAACUAUAACAAAAUAUUAACAUAAUGACUUUUUAAACAAACCACCAUGCCUAGUUUUUCCUUGAAAAUUAAACUUUACCAAAAAGAUACUAACUUUGAUCAAUUUUCUGAAAUCAUGGAGUUAUAACCAUAAUAAGUACAUAAGCAAAGUCUUAAAUUUCAGUUACCAUAGUUGAUGUAGUGUCAGCAGUUCAAACUUCAUUUGGUUCGGCUCAGGAAUAUGAAAGCAACACUGACCAUGGAUACAUCUUGUUUUAUGAGAGCCUUGUUGGAAAUAAUAACAUCACCUGUUGAAUCAAAUUCAAUCGUAUGUUAUGCUAUUUUUUCCUUUUCUUUUUUUCUUUUGUGUUUCGUUUUUUGUUUUGUGAUAUGGUAAUGGUAUAGAACAUUUUGGGUUAGGCUCAGGAGUAUGCAAGCAACACUCAAUGGACCUGUUUUGUUUACAUGGCGUCUAUUGGUGGUACCCAGUCCACCACCCAUUUAUAAUUUAAAGCCAAGUUCAAUGCAUGGUGGAUUCACAGUAUUCACAGUCUACUACCUUAUCAAUUUGGCUGCAUCUACCUCUCUACUAUUAUCAAGUAUCUCUGUAUUUUUUUUCACUUAACUCAUCAAAGCAAAAGUAUGGCUUCUAUAUCAACUCACAAACAGGGUAUACAUCUAAUUACCAUUAUAUAAAAUCUUAAUAAUCUUCAUUCACAUCCAAAGUGCAAACAUUACCUUUUGUAAAAAAAUAUAGGGAAAAUUAUUGGAUGUGAUGAAAAAAUGUCAAUUUAGACAGAAUCAACAAAAUUCAACUACAAAUUGGAGUGAAGAGCUUACUUUUUUGAGGGAAGAAGGAUUUUGGGUUCGAUAAAAAAUGAAGAACAGAUGCCGAUGUCUCCAAAAAUAUUUAAGUGAUACUAGGUAUAAAAUAACCUAAUGUUUCAUUCAAAUCACCUUAUGGCAGUUAGGGUCAAUGGUCAUCCGUUGAGUCACCAGUCGUUCGAUUGUCACCUAUGUUGAGAAGAGCGAUAUCUGCUUGAUGCGGCAGUGAGAGAGGUGGUGGAAGACCCUGGUCGAUUGAUGUUCGUCUCUCUCCCAAUCGGUCUGUCAUCCACUUCAAAUUUUGCCAUCGUUUCCUCCUCUUGUUCCGCCAUCGAAGCUUACCAAAAAGAUCAAAGAAAAGGAGUCGGAUGGAAAUUAGAGGUUACAAAGCAAGAAUGUUGAAAUAUUAAAGGGACGACUGAUUUUACAACUGAAGGGAGAGAAUUAGGGAUUUUGAAACCCAAAUCACAGCUUAAUACCGAGAUUUGAGGAUGACUGAAGAUUUAGAAGAUAAAUUCUUGAUUUUCAGAUUGAAAUAUGAAAAUUGAAGAGGAAAGUAUUUGACUGGUAUAUAAGGGGUGAGAGG